This 357-nucleotide long non-coding RNA is filed under the name Cyanistes caeruleus (blue tit). RNAcentral's name for it is "lncRNA (ENSCCEG00000001881.1)". The record is from RNAcentral. Lineage: Eukaryota; Metazoa; Chordata; Aves; Passeriformes; Paridae.
AAUCAGCGCCCUCAGCCAAUCAGCACCGAGCAUCAGGGACUCGGGGGCGGGGCCGACAGUCGGCGCCAUUUUUCCUUUUUGCCUCUCACUCCCGUCAUGCCCCGCGCUCCACAGAACCCCGGGAUCGCCCCCAUCUGUCCCUGUUUUGUAAAGUGGUGUUCCUAACAUAUUAGUCCGGGAUCUCAGUAUAACAAAGAAGGAGGGCUGUAUAAUUCCUAAGAUCCAAAAAGCGUCGGAUUCUUUCCCACCUGCGUUGUUCUGCGUCCGGAUUUAAUGGAGUUCCUGUCAGCAGCCAAUCCAGAAUGCCUGUUUUCUCUAAUGGAUUAAAGUUAGUUGCAAUCAUAAAGCACAAACUCU